CAGAGUUCGUGCCCUCACGGGUAGAUCUCCCACCCUGUGUUAUUAUACCUUUGUUGCUUUGGCGGGCCGCCCUCGGCUACCGGCCCCGGCUGGUACGCGCCCGCCAGAGGACCAAACUCUGAAUGUUAGUGAUGUCUGAGUACUAUCUAAUAGUUA
This 156-nucleotide unclassified non-coding RNA is filed under the name uncultured Dermateaceae. Its description in RNAcentral is "sequence contains ITS1". The record is from RNAcentral. Lineage: Eukaryota; Fungi; Ascomycota; Leotiomycetes; Helotiales; Dermateaceae.